RNAcentral lists this unclassified non-coding RNA (247 nucleotides) under Glomus sp. RNAcentral describes it as "partial contains 5.8S ribosomal RNA and internal transcribed spacer 2". The stretch from base 1 to 65 matches the Rfam family "5.8S ribosomal RNA", at positions 84 to 154 of the family's 154-position model. The record is from RNAcentral. Lineage: Eukaryota; Fungi; Glomeromycota; Glomeromycetes; Glomerales; Glomeraceae.
GUGAAUCAUCAAAUUUUUGAACGCAAAUUGCACUCUCUUCUGAUAGUAUGCCUGUUUGAGGUUCAGCCUAAAAAAAAUCUACAUAGUCGCUGUUUCGCGGUGUCAUUCUUCGGCCUUUGGGUCAUCUUAAACCUUUGAGUUUUAAGCGGCUUAAAAUUUUCUUUACGAUUCCACGAACGUUUCUAAGAUUUACUUCUUAUACGUUUGAGGUACCGAUCUUUAUUAGACGUUGCCGUUGCAUCCGAGC